GCAUCAUGUAAACUCAUACUAAUUACUAAUAUAUUUUUAAAUAUAAAAGUAUAAUCAAUUUAAGCAUAGAGCUGAGGCUUUAUAAGUACUGUGGUCUCUGUAAGAUGAUUUACUAAGAUGGACCUGUCUCAAUAUGUGCUAAAACCAAUAUAAUAGCAUUUAGUGUUUUAAUAUUAAUUUGAGUUGGUAUUGAGGAAAACAUUGCCAUUCCCAUUUCCCCCCAAUUUUCCCACUACUUGUUAAUAAACGCGCACAACGUUGACCGUAGGGAGAGGCCCUUUUUGACCCCGUACAUGCUUCAAAUAAUGGGGUUUUAAAAACGUCUUGUGAAUUAGAGUCGUUUGUUGAUGGCUGUGAAAAGCCACAGUGUUACACAGCAAACAUGCGUUAUUAGUGGUGAAUUCGGCCUAGUGGGUUCUACGUAUUAUUAAAGAAUUUACGGUAAAACAGUUGGCGGCUAUUACAAAACCAGUUCGUGUUCUACAGCAUUUAGGCUUUGUCAACGUGCGGGCGUUUUGGUGCUAAAUGAACGAACUAAUGAGGUUGUGUUUACACACGUGGUGGCGCCGGUGGACACGAGGGGGCGCGUCGUACUUAUCGUUAGUGAACUUGGAGAGAGACUACAAACGCUACGAACUACAGGAUCCACCCAGAGCUCUCUGUCAAUCUCCAGCCUUGUGAUGACAGCAGAUCCCGGUAGCGACAGACUGUACGACCUGAAAGAGCAGAGCAGAACAGGAGAGUGACAGUGACAACCGAUUGAACAGAUAAACAGACUCCUUCAUUUGUGGCUAAAUGGGAGCCUAACAGGAACCCACAGGACAGCCGGUUGUGCUGCCCAGGGCCGAAGCUACCGUGCUUCAUCCUGUCUACGUGAAAGGUUUGUUUACAUCAAACUCUGGCUGAAACUCCAGUGACUUGGAGGCGGGUGGCUGGGGAGAAGAUGCGUGCUGAAUGAGGCUAUCUGAAUGAUUUAGCAGACAAGGUGUGAGCCAUGAUGGUGUGAAGGUUAAAGCAGUAGUUCAGGUAGAACAUUGAUUGUUAUACUCCGUCUUGCUGAAAUAAAGAGGACAUGGUUCAAUAUGGUUUUGUCUCA
This 1096-nucleotide long non-coding RNA is filed under the name Betta splendens (Siamese fighting fish). Its description in RNAcentral is "lncRNA (ENSBSLG00000009830.1)". Lineage: Eukaryota; Metazoa; Chordata; Actinopteri; Anabantiformes; Osphronemidae. The record is from RNAcentral.